GACAGAGGGUGCAAACGUUGCUCGGAAUCACUGGGCGUAAAGGGCGUGUAGGCGGGAAUGUAAGUCGGGCGUGAAAGCCCCAGGCUCAACCUGGGAACUGCACUCGAAACUGCGUUUCUUGAGUAUCGGAGAGGAAAGCGGAAUACCUGGUGUAGAGGUGAAAUUCGUAGAUAUCAGGUGGAACACCGGUGGCGAAGGCGGCUCACUGGCUCAUAUCUGACGCUCAGGCGCGACAGCGUGGGGAUCAAACAGG
Molecule: ribosomal RNA, 253 nt
Filed under: uncultured bacterium
Lineage: Bacteria
Description: partial 16S ribosomal RNA
Rfam family: Bacterial small subunit ribosomal RNA
Source: RNAcentral